RNAcentral lists this ribosomal RNA (464 nucleotides) under Vreelandella stevensii. Its description in RNAcentral is "partial 16S ribosomal RNA". It matches the Rfam family "Bacterial small subunit ribosomal RNA", at positions 339 to 795 of the family's 1533-position model. The record is from RNAcentral. Lineage: Bacteria; Pseudomonadati; Pseudomonadota; Gammaproteobacteria; Oceanospirillales; Halomonadaceae.
CUACGGGUGGCAGCAGUGGGGAAUAUUGGACAAUGGGCGAAAGCCUGAUCCAGCUAUGCCGCGUGUGUGAAGAAGGCCUUCGGGUUGUAAAGCACUUUCAGUGGGGAAGAAAGCCUUGGGGCUAAUACCCUCGAGGAAGGACAUCACCCACAGAAGAAGCACCGGCUAACUCCGUGCCAGCAGCCGCGGUAAUACGGAGGGUGCGAGCGUUAAUCGGAAUUACUGGGCGUAAAGCGCGCGUAGGCGGUCUGAUAAGCCGGUUGUGAAAGCCCCGGGCUCAACCUGGGAACGGCAUCCGGAACUGUCAGGCUAGAGUGCAGGAGAGGAAGGUAGAAUUCCCGGUGUAGCGGUGAAAUGCGUAGAGAUCGGGAGGAAUACCAGUGGCGAAGGCGGCCUUCUGGACUGACACUGACGCUGAGGUGCGAAAGCGUGGGUAGCAAACAGGAUUAGAUACCCGGGUAGUC